CAGAUAGUGGAAGUAAAAAGUCCCACCAAGCAGAGCAAGCACGACAAAAGCAUGGAGUGUGAUAAGGUUUACCUGGAUGAGCUGGUGGAGCUGCAUAAAAGACUAAUGACACUAAGAGAAGGUCACAUACUGCAACAGAUUGUAAACCUGAUUGAAGAGACCGGACACUUCCACAUUACAAACACUACGUUUGACUUUGACCUUUGCUCUUUGGACAGAAGUACAGUAAGGAAGCUGCAGAGCUAUCUCGGGACGUCCUGAGGCACACAGCGGUUGGGUGCUGGAUCCGAGCCUCUGACUCGUCCUGUAUCAGUUCCAGCUGUAGUUGGCGUGUCUAAACCUCACAGUGGGUCCAGCCUGCUGCUUCGACCCCCCUGAACAAAGAGUUCACCCUGCUGCAGAAAUCGGGGGUAGAUGUACGAGAUCAGGACGUCAGCAGGCAACAAUCUGAAAACUUGAUAUGAAGGGUUGGUGGGUGGGAGUGAUUCUGCUGCCAUGUAUGUUGUUGUUUAUCGUGACAAGUGCACGAUCAACUUUGCCUUACAACAUUGUACGUCUUAUUUAUUAAAUUUAAUUUGCAGGUGUG
Pundamilia nyererei is the source of this 586-nucleotide long non-coding RNA. RefSeq lists it as uncharacterized. The record is from RefSeq and is a predicted model, not a curated record. The transcript has 3 exons. NCBI's taxonomy places the organism in Eukaryota, Metazoa, Chordata, Actinopteri, Cichliformes, Cichlidae.